Molecule: long non-coding RNA, 101 nt
Organism: Hippocampus comes (tiger tail seahorse)
Lineage: Eukaryota; Metazoa; Chordata; Actinopteri; Syngnathiformes; Syngnathidae
Exons: 3
Source: RefSeq, a predicted model, not a curated record
AAACGACACGACUGGAAAUGCAUUUAAUUCAAUGGAACAUUACCUGGUAGUUGGAGAAUUGAAUCAUAUACUUUACACUGAACUUGGCCCGUGCUCUGCCA